UAUAGUUUGCUAUUGGUAAAAUAUAUAUAGAGAGAACUAUAUAUCAAGGGAAGGCGAGCAAAUGGUUUUGGAUCUGACAGUCCACCUCAUAUUCUUCUCAAAAUCGCUUCAGAAGUACCUAAACAGUGGGAGAUUAAGUUUGAGUUUUCCUUUGUGUAUGGAGUGGACCCAAACCUACGCAGAUCUGUUUUAUUGGCAUGGGAACGUGAGAUUAAAAGAGAAACUUGACUGUCUAUUGGGGGAAGAAAAAAAAACCUGCUCUGAACAAUGAAGUUAGUUGCUUUGCAGGAGGCAAACACUCAGACAUUUGAUUAGAAAGUUACGCAAAAUGUGUAUCAGAAUAAAACCAGGAACAUCUGGGAUGAUUUGCGCAGCAUGCGGAAUCUGGGCUUUGAAGUAUGAAUUCCUGAUAAUUAAAUGAUUUCCAGAACCUUGUGCUCCAGGACUGCGGUGGACUGCCCUCCUUGAAGAAACCACCCACGUAAUAAUGACCCCGGAGAGCAAAACAAAACCCAACUGGCUUCAAUGCAAACUUCGCCAAAUGACUGGACUCGCCUGAAGACAGGCAAACUGGCAGGAUAAUUCUGCUCUGGAGGGGUGAAAAAUAAAAUAUAUCCGCGGCAACAACCCACAUAGGGUUUGGCUGGUUAUUAUUUUUUUAAGGCAGUAGCUAAAAGACACCGUGACCAAAGUCCAAAGCAGCCUUGGUUCCAAGUCAGAUAUCUACUAUAUCCAGCUUCCGUGAUGAAAUGAGAGAGAAAGAAGGAAAGAAAGAAGCCAUUUAACAGCUACACCUAAUUCCACGCGGUCUGCUUUAUUCGUACUCCUGUUACGCACGUAUUUCUAGAACUGCGUACAUCUCCCACUUGAAGAAUAUGGUAGUUUAUUGCGCACACUGGAAAUGUUAAAGAGAGAGAGCGAGAGAGAGAUGCUAGCAAGUGCUUAAAAUUAGUUACCAUUGUUUUGCAUUGUUGAUUUUCCUGAGUUUAAUUGGCUUAAUUUAUUUUAUGUGUGCUUUGAUGUUAAACAUUAUUUGAUGCUAAUGAAAUAGUCACAGUCCACAAUAAAGCAUUCGAAAGAGUGGGGAGGGGACAACAAACCCCAAACCAUCGCAAAAUAUCUUGUGUCCUUGGUAAAGGGUCAGAUUAGUCACACGAAUCUAUAUAUAAUAUAUAGAGAGGGGUUUUUUUAAUUGUUUCUUGCUUCUCUGCUUUUACCUUUCCCGUCUUUUUCCCAGUAGACUAAUCUGUGCAGAUAUUUGGAGGAAGGGAAAAGAGUGAAAUCUGCAAAUCCAUAUUCUUGGCAAUUGUUUUUUAUACCCAACUAUGAGUUUUAUUUCGCUAAAUGUUUUAAAUUAUUAACAUCUGUAGCAAUGUUAUUAAAAUGUUAAAUACGACUGUUAUGCUGAAAAGUAUCGGGCACGAAUAAGAUGACAUAUCAGGGGAAAUUAAAAGGGAUAUUUUCUUUAUAUCCUGAAAUAAACAACUGAAUUAUAAUAAUGCAAACACAUAUGAAAAGUGCAAUGAACUGAACACCGUUUUAGACUAUU
Molecule: long non-coding RNA, 1549 nt
Organism: Gopherus evgoodei (Goodes thornscrub tortoise)
Lineage: Eukaryota; Metazoa; Chordata; Testudines; Testudinidae
Exons: 4
Source: RefSeq, a predicted model, not a curated record